Molecule: long non-coding RNA, 550 nt
Filed under: Sorghum bicolor (sorghum)
Lineage: Eukaryota; Viridiplantae; Streptophyta; Magnoliopsida; Poales; Poaceae
Description: long non-coding RNA (SBIC_LNC004778)
Source: RNAcentral
UGUAAUAACCAUCAAGCUCAUCAAGAUGCUAAUGGAUGCCUCAUAGAAGACACUACCAGAUUUUUCAAAAAAACAUGAAAUUUCCCUUGAUUAAUAAGGAAAAUCUAAUAUGUUAAACUGCACAUAUAGGACAACAACCAGACUUUCAAAGUUCCCCAACAUCAGUUUAAAGCAGAACAUCAAGGUAAAUGCAAGUACAUGGCCAAUGGGCAGCAGUAAGCAAUUGUGAUCGACAUAAUAGUUCGAGUCAUGAUAAAUUGAGCAAAGUAAAAUAUGAACAUGGUAAAGCUCUUACCCUCCUUUUGCUUGAUCUUGAUUUAUUCAACAGCUGUUGUUGAGUGAUAUAUGCCUUCGAUGGUGGCACUUGUUCAGUAUUUUCGUUGAAAAGCUUUUUGCUGACAAUACUAGGAUUCUUAGUACGAUGAGUAUCUGCAUCUCUUUGUACUGUGACAAUACUCCCAGGCUGAGUCUACAAACAAUAAUUUUUUUUGAUCUUUUUUAGGUACAGGUCAUGGUAUAUAUGUCAAGAUUACUUGGAACUUGGUGCAAU